RNAcentral lists this ribosomal RNA (253 nucleotides) under uncultured bacterium. Its description in RNAcentral is "partial 16S ribosomal RNA". It matches the Rfam family "Bacterial small subunit ribosomal RNA", at positions 524 to 776 of the family's 1533-position model. The record is from RNAcentral.
UACGGAGGGUGCAAGCGUUAUCCGGAUUCACUGGGUUUAAAGGGUGUGUAGGCGGGCUAUUAAGUCAGUGGUGAAAUCUCCGGGCUCAACCCGGAAACUGCCAUUGAUACUAUUAGUCUUGAAUCUUGUUGAGGUAGGCGGAAUAUAUCAUGUAGCGGUGAAAUGCUUAGAUAUGAUAUAGAACACCGAUUGCGAAGGCAGCUUACUAAACAGGCAUUGACGCUGAGGCACGAAAGCGUGGGGAUCAAACAGG